This 729-nucleotide unclassified non-coding RNA is filed under the name Hevea brasiliensis (rubber tree). The record is from RNAcentral. Lineage: Eukaryota; Viridiplantae; Streptophyta; Magnoliopsida; Malpighiales; Euphorbiaceae.
UAGAUGCUCUUUAACAAAUACAACAUUUCUAUUCUUCUUUCUUUAUCUUUUGGUGUCUGAUGUUAUUCUCAUUUGAGGUGAGUAGUUGUAAAGCGAAUAUUAUUAGAUUUCCAACAUGCCAACAGAAAACACUCAAUGCAGGAAAAUAAAAAAUAAAAAAAAUCAAUUCCCUUGACCACAACCGCAAGCUUACAAAAUAACCUUGAAUGUAAAGUCAGCAAAAAUCUGGCCUAGGUUUCUUGCGAACCGAUAUGCAGCCUCUUUGAUGAUCCCUGAAAAUUCUGAUAUCAGAAUAAUUCCUCAGGUCUUCAAGACUAAUGUACUGCUGCUUGACCAUCCUGGAAAAAUCGCCGCCGGUGUCAUGUACCCAAAUAUAAGGGUGACACGUCUCAUCAUAGUAAUACAGCAAGCUCUUCAUACCUCCAGAACUAGCACUGCCACUCCUUCCAGGCAUGUAGGCCUUGUAUAUGCUCUUGCAUUUUAGUCUCUUUGAAGAGCCUGGCUUCAAUGUGUGAACCUUUUUCAGUAUUGAUCCCACCCUUACUUGCAGCUCAACUGACCUGUCACUCAGGUUCCAGAUCCUGGUGCCGAAUCCUGAAGUUUUUGUAUGAUCGCGACAGCCAUCAAAGCAACCCCCAAGAGGAAAAAUGCUGAAACCUGGCAUUUUUCCUCUCCAGGAUUCAGAAUUUUUGGUAACCUUGAAUUUUGAAUCAACCUUAUUGCUUUCUG